RNAcentral lists this ribosomal RNA (1668 nucleotides) under Salmonella enterica subsp. enterica serovar Paratyphi A. RNAcentral's name for it is "bacterial SSU rRNA". It matches the Rfam family "Bacterial small subunit ribosomal RNA". Lineage: Bacteria; Pseudomonadati; Pseudomonadota; Gammaproteobacteria; Enterobacterales; Enterobacteriaceae. The record is from RNAcentral.
GACGAAAAAUGAAUACCAAGUCUCAAGAGUGAACACGUAAUUCAUUACGAAGUUUAAUUCAUUGAGCAUCAAACUUUUAAAUUGAAGAGUUUGAUCAUGGCUCAGAUUGAACGCUGGCGGCAGGCCUAACACAUGCAAGUCGAACGGUAACAGGAAGCAGCUUGCUGCUUUGCUGACGAGUGGCGGACGGGUGAGUAAUGUCUGGGAAACUGCCUGAUGGAGGGGGAUAACUACUGGAAACGGUGGCUAAUACCGCAUAACGUCGCAAGACCAAAGAGGGGGACCUUCGGGCCUCUUGCCAUCAGAUGUGCCCAGAUGGGAUUAGCUUGUUGGUGAGGUAACGGCUCACCAAGGCGACGAUCCCUAGCUGGUCUGAGAGGAUGACCAGCCACACUGGAACUGAGACACGGUCCAGACUCCUACGGGAGGCAGCAGUGGGGAAUAUUGCACAAUGGGCGCAAGCCUGAUGCAGCCAUGCCGCGUGUAUGAAGAAGGCCUUCGGGUUGUAAAGUACUUUCAGCGGGGAGGAAGGUGUUGUGGUUAAUAACCGCAGCAAUUGACGUUACCCGCAGAAGAAGCACCGGCUAACUCCGUGCCAGCAGCCGCGGUAAUACGGAGGGUGCAAGCGUUAAUCGGAAUUACUGGGCGUAAAGCGCACGCAGGCGGUCUGUCAAGUCGGAUGUGAAAUCCCCGGGCUCAACCUGGGAACUGCAUUCGAAACUGGCAGGCUUGAGUCUUGUAGAGGGGGGNNNNNNNNNNNNNNNNNNNNGAAAUGCGUAGAGAUCUGGAGGAAUACCGGUGGCGAAGGCGGCCCCCUGGACAAAGACUGACGCUCAGGUGCGAAAGCGUGGGGAGCAAACAGGAUUAGAUACCCUGGUAGUCCACGCCGUAAACGAUGUCUACUUGGAGGUUGUGCCCUUGAGGCGUGGCUUCCGGAGCUAACGCGUUAAGUAGACCGCCUGGGGAGUACGGCCGCAAGGUUAAAACUCAAAUGAAUUGACGGGGGCCCGCACAAGCGGUGGAGCAUGUGGUUUAAUUCGAUGCAACGCGAAGAACCUUACCUGGUCUUGACAUCCACGGAAGUUUUCAGAGAUGAGAAUGUGCCUUCGGGAACCGUGAGACAGGUGCUGCAUGGCUGUCGUCAGCUCGUGUUGUGAAAUGUUGGGUUAAGUCCCGCAACGAGCGCAACCCUUAUCCUUUGUUGCCAGCGGUCCGGCCGGGAACUCAAAGGAGACUGCCAGUGAUAAACUGGAGGAAGGUGGGGAUGACGUCAAGUCAUCAUGGCCCUUACGACCAGGGCUACACACGUGCUACAAUGGCGCAUACAAAGAGAAGCGACCUCGCGAGAGCAAGCGGACCUCAUAAAGUGCGUCGUAGUCCGGAUUGGAGUCUGCAACUCGACUCCAUGAAGUCGGAAUCGCUAGUAAUCGUGGAUCAGAAUGCCACGGUGAAUACGUUCCCGGGCCUUGUACACACCGCCCGUCACACCAUGGGAGUGGGUUGCAAAAGAAGUAGGUAGCUUAACCUUCGGGAGGGCGCUUACCACUUUGUGAUUCAUGACUGGGGUGAAGUCGUAACAAGGUAACCGUAGGGGAACCUGCGGUUGGAUCACCUCCUUACCUUAAAGAAGCGUACUUUGCAGUGCUCACACAGAUUGUCUGAUGAAAA